UACGUAGGGCGCAAGCGUUGUCCGGAAUUAUUGGGCGUAAAGAGCUCGUAGGCGGUUUGUCGCGUUCUGCUGUUGAAAAGCCCGGGGCUCAACCCCGGGUCUGCAGUGGGUACGGGCAGACUAGAGUGCAGUAGGGGAGACUGGAAUUCCUGGUGUAGGCGGUGAAAUGCGCAGAUAUCAGGAGGACACCGAUGGCGAAGGCAGGUCUCUGGGCUGAUUACUGACGUGAGGAGCGAAGCAUGGGGAGCGAACAGGAAUUAGAUACCCGGGGUAGUCCA
RNAcentral lists this ribosomal RNA (278 nucleotides) under uncultured bacterium. RNAcentral describes it as "partial 16S ribosomal RNA". It matches the Rfam family "Bacterial small subunit ribosomal RNA", at positions 524 to 797 of the family's 1533-position model. The record is from RNAcentral.